CCAGACUCCUACGGGAGGCAGCAGUGGGGGAUAUUGCACAAUGGGGGAAACCCUGAUGCAGCGACGCCGCGUGAGUGAAGAAGUAUUUCGGUAUGUAAAGCUCUAUCAGCAGGGAAGAAAAUGACAGUACCUGACCAAGAAGCCCCGGCUAACUACGUGCCAGCAGCCGCGGUAAUACGUAGGGGGCAAGCGUUAUCCGGAUUUACUGGGUGUAAAGGGAGCGUAGACGGUUAUGUAAGUCUGGAGUGAAAGCCCGGGGCUCAACCGCGGGACUGCUUUGGAAACUGUUAAGCUGGAGUGCAGGAGAGGUAAGUGGAAUUCCUAGUGUAGCGGUGAAAUGCGUAGAUAUUAGGAAGAACACCAGUGGCGAAGGCGGCUUGCUGGACAGUAACUGACGUUGAGGCUCGAAAGCGUGGGGAGCAAACAGGAUUAGAUACCCUCGUAC
Molecule: ribosomal RNA, 445 nt
Filed under: uncultured bacterium
Lineage: Bacteria
Description: bacterial SSU rRNA
Rfam family: Bacterial small subunit ribosomal RNA
Source: RNAcentral